Molecule: long non-coding RNA, 1541 nt
Organism: Centruroides sculpturatus (bark scorpion)
Lineage: Eukaryota; Metazoa; Arthropoda; Arachnida; Scorpiones; Buthidae
Exons: 3
Source: RefSeq, a predicted model, not a curated record
UCGAAUGGCGGGGUCGUGUUCGGACGAGGAUUUGCGUGGCGGUCGGAGACGAAGAGUUAAACUGUUGGUAAAUUUCGGCGAAAGAAAGAAAACGACACGAAAUAGUCGAAAAAUGGCGUUAUUUUUCUCCAAGAAAUGUAACACGUUAAAUUUUGCAUGGGAUGUUAAUUCGUAAUCCGAAGUCGGCUUCGUAGCUGCGAGAAGUUUGGACGACAGACGAGACUUGCACUUUUGGUACUAUAUUUUUUUUAUUGCUUCUAACCACAAUGUAUUGUCUGAUACUGGAUAACAUAAUAGUUACUCAAGUUAAUGCAUAAAGACUUAAAUUUUUAUGGGCUGAUUUCCUACUUCAAUAUCUAUGGUAAGUACUCCUCCCCUACUGUCUGUUUUAAAAUCUUGUAUUUUUAUGCUGUAUUUAAUUAACAAUAAGACUCCACUGCUUCUGCAACAUGCAAAAGAUGAGUAUAUAUUAGUGUAUAAAUAGCUUUCUUAAUUGUCUUAAUUCAUACAAGUCUUUAACAUCAGUAUCUUGGAUUCCAAGGACAUCAACUUUAUCCGUAAGCACCAAAUUUAUAAUUUGUUUCAUUUUAUCUUUAAAUCCAGUGAUAUUUAUAUUCUGAUAUUUGUUCAUUUACCAUUGUUUUUAGUUAAACUCUGUCUUCUCAACUUUUGUACUUUUUUUUUAUAUCCCCUACUGAAUAUGCUUUUUUUCAUUCCUGCUAUUCCUUGUAUUUAUCCUAUUACUUUAUUCAUUUCUGCUACUUUUUGGCUCCCAGUGAUAUUUUCCAUUAAUUCUAUUUGUUUACUUUUUGCUUAACAUCUACUUCUCUUAUUUUCUAAACUAUCUAUCUUUUUCCCACCCUUCUGCCCCAUCUCCUCUUUCACUACCAUCUUCUCUACCUCCUUAGCUUUCCCUUGUUCUUUGAACUCUUUCCUCUGUUUCUUCUGGAAAUAGAGAAGUCCUCGUGUAUUGUGCUCAGAAGAGUUGUCGGGAUAAAUCGUCUGGAUGUACAAUUUUCCAUGCUUUUCCUGUUUUCAAACGAGCAACGGAUGCCGUCAUGGAGACGCAGAUCAGGCAAUGUCAGUAGUUUUGAAACUCGACCGCAGAUUGGCUAGAAAACAUCGUACGACCAGCAGACGUUCGAUAGCGCUACUAAGCGCUGAUUGGUGGUUUUACAUUUGUUUCAAUUCGUAUAAAAGGAGUGAAUUUAGGCGGGAGUUUCAGUUUGUUUAAGACAUAUCCAGGGAACUCAAGUUUGUUUAGCUUCGCCUAAGCUUGCCUAGAAAGUUGUUUCAUCUCGCUGUGUGGUAACCAAUGUCUGAAGGAAUACGUCGCAAGGAGUCCUUUUUGACGGACCUGUUGUUGUUGUUUAAUGGACAUUUGAACUUUGCUAUAUCUGAAUUAUUGUAAUUGUUUUAUUUUUGUGAAAUUCAUAACUAAGUUUUAAUUAUUAAUAUAAACGUUUGUGAUUUGUGAACUAAGUGGUUUUUGAACUGGACUAGAGUAUUGAUACUCAGGGAAAAGAGAAACUGAGAGAGGG